This 433-nucleotide ribosomal RNA is filed under the name uncultured bacterium. RNAcentral's name for it is "partial 16S ribosomal RNA". It matches the Rfam family "Bacterial small subunit ribosomal RNA", at positions 29 to 507 of the family's 1533-position model. The record is from RNAcentral.
AGCGAACGCUGGCGGCAGGCUUAACACAUGCAGGUCGAGCGGGCCUUUCGGGGUCAGCGGCGGACGGGUGAGUAACGCGUGGGAACGUGCCCUCUGGUUCGGAAUAACUCAGGGAAACUUGAGCUAAUACCGGAUACGCCCUUUUGGGGAAAGGCUUGCUGCCGGAGGAUCGGCCCGCGUCUGAUUAGCUAGUUGGUGAGGUAACGGCUCACCAAGGCGACGAUCAGUAGCUGGUCUGAGAGGAUGAUCAGCCACACUGGGACUGAGACACGGCCCAGACUCCUACGGGAGGCAGCAGUGGGGAAUAUUGGACAAUGGGCGCAAGCCUGAUCCAGCCAUGCCGCGUGAGUGAUGAAGGCCUUAGGGUUGUAAAGCUCUUUUAUCCGGGACGAUAAUGACGGUACCGGAGGAAUAAGCCCCGGCUAACUUCGUG